RNAcentral lists this ribosomal RNA (858 nucleotides) under Fibroporia gossypium. RNAcentral's name for it is "eukaryotic LSU rRNA". It matches the Rfam family "Eukaryotic large subunit ribosomal RNA", at positions 102 to 941 of the family's 3401-position model. The record is from RNAcentral. Lineage: Eukaryota; Fungi; Basidiomycota; Agaricomycetes; Polyporales; Fibroporiaceae.
GAAAAGCUCAAAUUUAAAAUCUGGCGGCUUAUAGUCGUCCGAGUUGUAGUCUGGAGAAGUGCUUUCCGCGCUGGACCGUGUACAAGUCCCUUGGAACAGGGCGUCAUAGAGGGUGAGAAUCCCGUCUUUGACACGGACUACCAGUGCUUUGUGAUGCGCUCUCAAAGAGUCGAGUUGUUUGGGAAUGCAGCUCAAAAUGGGUGGUAAAUUCCAUCUAAAGCUAAAUACAGGCGAGAGACCGAUAGCGAACAAGUACCGUGAGGGAAAGAUGAAAAGCACUUUGGAAAGAGAGUUAAACAGUACGUGAAAUUGCUGAAAGGGAAACGAUUGAAGUCAGUCGCGUUGUCUGGAAGUCAGCCUUGCAAUUUUGUUUGGUGUAUUUUUUAGAUUGACGGGCCAGCAUCGAUUUUGACCGUUGGAUAAAGAUGAGGGGAAUGUGGCACCUUCGGGUGUGUUAUAGCCCCUUGUCACAUACAACGGUUGGGAUCGAGGAACUCAGCACGCCUUUAUUGGUCGGGGUUCGCCCACGUUCGUGCUUAGGAUGCUGGCAUAAUGGCUUUAAACGACCCGUCUUGAAACACGGACCAAGGAGUCUAACAUACCUGCGAGUGUUUGGGUGGUAAACCCGAGCGCGUAAUUAAAGUAAAAGUUGAGAUCCCCGUUACAAGGGAGCAUCGACGCCCGGACUUGACCUUCUGUGAUAGCUCUGCGGUAGAGCAUGUAUGUUGGGACCCGAAAGAUGGUGAACUAUGCCUGAAUAGGGUGAAGCCAGAGGAAACUCUGGUGGAGGCUCGUAGCGAUUCUGACGUGCAAAUCGAUCGUCAAAUUUGGGUAUAGGGGCGAAAGACUAAUCGAUCC